Molecule: non-coding RNA, 30 nt
Filed under: Homo sapiens (human)
Lineage: Eukaryota; Metazoa; Chordata; Mammalia; Primates; Hominidae
Source: RNAcentral
UACGUCACUGGCAGACCUGCCUUCGCCAGC